This 135-nucleotide ribosomal RNA is filed under the name uncultured eukaryote. Its description in RNAcentral is "partial 18S ribosomal RNA". It matches the Rfam family "Eukaryotic small subunit ribosomal RNA", at positions 1299 to 1458 of the family's 1831-position model. The record is from RNAcentral.
UGGUGGAGCGAUUUGUCUGGUUAAUUCCGAUAACGAACGAGACUCUAUCCUAUUAAAUAGUUCGCCGAUUCUAUGUCGGUGCCAACUUCUUAGAGGGACAAGUGGCGUUUAGCCACGCGAGAUUGAGCAAUAACA